This 503-nucleotide ribosomal RNA is filed under the name uncultured bacterium. Its description in RNAcentral is "partial 16S ribosomal RNA". It matches the Rfam family "Bacterial small subunit ribosomal RNA", at positions 30 to 523 of the family's 1533-position model. The record is from RNAcentral.
AUUGAACGCUGGCGGCAGGCUUAACACAUGCAAGUCGAGCGGGGUGAUGGUGCUUGCACUAUCACUUAGCGGCGGACGGGUGAGUAAUGCUUAGGAAUCUGCCUAUUAGUGGGGGACAACAUCUCGAAAGGGAUGCUAAUACCGCAUACGUCCUACGGGAGAAAGCGGGGGAUCACUUGUGACCUUGCGCUAAUAGAUGAGCCUAAGUCGGAUUAGCUAGUUGGUGGGGUAAAGGCCUACCAAGGCGACGAUCUGUAGCGGGUCUGAGAGGAUGAUACGCCACACUGGGACUGAGACACGGCCCAGACUCCUACGGGAGGCAGCAGUGGGGAAUAUUGGACAAUGGGGGGAACCCUGAUCCAGCCAUGCCGCGUGUGUGAAGAAGGCCUUAUGGUUGUAAAGCACUUUAAGCGAGGAGGAGGCUCUUUUGGUUAAUACCCAAGAUGAGUGGACGUUACUCGCAGAAUAAGCACCGGCUAACUCUGUGCCAGCAGCCGCGGUAA